UAAGACCCCUGAAAGAUGAUCAGGUUGAUAGGUCAGAGGUGGAAGCAUGGUGACAUGUGUAGCUGACUGAUACUAAUCGGUCGAGGACUUAACCAC
Molecule: ribosomal RNA, 96 nt
Filed under: Priestia iocasae
Lineage: Bacteria; Bacillati; Bacillota; Bacilli; Caryophanales; Bacillaceae
Description: partial 23S ribosomal RNA
Rfam family: Bacterial large subunit ribosomal RNA
Source: RNAcentral